AACGAACGCUGGCGGCAUGCCUAACACAUGCAAGUCGAACGAGACCUUCGGGUCUAGUGGCGCACGGGUGCGUAACGCGUGGGAACCUGCCCUUAGGUUCGGAAUAACUCCCCGAAAGGGGUGCUAAUACAGGUUAAUGUCUUCGGACCAAAGAUUUAUGGCCUUGGGAUGGGCCCGGGUUGGAUUGGUUAGUUGGUAGGGUAAAAGCCUACCAAGGCGUCGAUCCAGAGCUGGUCUGUGAGGAGGAUCAGCCACACUGGGACUGAGGCACGGCCCAGACUCCUACGGGAGGGAGGAGUGUGGAAUAUUGGACGAGGGGGGAAAGCGUGAUACAGCAGUGCCGGGUGAGUGAUGAAGGCCUUAGGGUUGUAAAGCUCUUUUACCCGGGAUGAUAAUGACAGUACCGGGAGAAUAAGCACCGGCUAACUCCGUG
Molecule: ribosomal RNA, 433 nt
Filed under: uncultured bacterium
Lineage: Bacteria
Description: partial 16S ribosomal RNA
Rfam family: Bacterial small subunit ribosomal RNA
Source: RNAcentral